CAGCAGCCACGGGAAUACAGAGGGUGCGAGCGUUAAUCGGAUUUACUGGGCGUAAAGCGUGCGUAGGCGGCUUCUUAAGUCGGAUGUGAAAUCCCUGAGCUUAACUUAGGAAUUGCAUUCGAUACUGGGAAGCUAGAGUAUGGGAGAGGAUGGUAGAAUUCCAGGUGUAGCGGUGAAAUGCGUAGAGAUCUGGAGGAAUACCGAUGGCGAAGGCAGCCAUCUGGCCUAAUACUGACGCUGAGGUACGAAAGCAUGGGGAGCAAACAGGAUUAGAGACCCCAGUAGUCCCUGUCUCUUAUAC
This 301-nucleotide ribosomal RNA is filed under the name uncultured bacterium. Its description in RNAcentral is "partial 16S ribosomal RNA". It matches the Rfam family "Bacterial small subunit ribosomal RNA", at positions 509 to 807 of the family's 1533-position model. The record is from RNAcentral.